GAGUUUGAUCCUGGCUCAGGAUGAACGCCGGCGGUGUGCCUAAUACAUGCAAGUCGUACGCACUGGCCCAACUGAUUGAUGGUGCUUGCACCUGAUUGACGAUGGAUCACCAGUGAGUGGCGGACGGGUGAGUAACACGUAGGUAACCUGCCCCGGAGCGGGGAUAACAUUUGGAAACAGAUGCUAAUACCGCAUAACAACAAAGGCCACAUGGCUUUUGUUUGAAAGAUGGCUUUGGCCAUCACUCUGGGAUGGACCUGCGGUGCAUUAGCUAGUUGGUAAGGUAACGGCUUACCAAGGCGAUGAUGCAUAGCCGAGUUGAGAGACUGAUCGGCCACAAUGGAACUGAGACACGGUCCAUACUCCUACGGGAGGCAGCAGUAGGGAAUCUUCCACAAUGGGCGCAAGCCUGAUGGAGCAACACCGCGUGAGUGAAGAAGGGUUUCGGCUCGUAAAGCUCUGUUGUUGGAGAAGAACGUGCGUGAGAGU
This 489-nucleotide ribosomal RNA is filed under the name uncultured microorganism. RNAcentral's name for it is "bacterial SSU rRNA". It matches the Rfam family "Bacterial small subunit ribosomal RNA", at positions 9 to 462 of the family's 1533-position model. The record is from RNAcentral.